AUUGAACGCUGGCGGCAUGCCUUACACAUGCAAGUCGAACGGCAGCACGGAGCUUGCUCUGGUGGCGAGUGGCGAACGGGUGAGUAAUAUAUCGGAACGUACCCUAGAGUGGGGGAUAACGUAGCGAAAGUUACGCUAAUACCGCAUACGAUCUAAGGAUGAAAGUGGGGGAUCGCAAGACCUCAUGCUCGUGGAGCGGCCGGUAUCUGAUUAGCUAGUUGGUAGGGUAAAAGCCUACCAAGGCAUCGAUCAGUAGCUGGUCUGAGAGGACGACCAGCCACACUGGAACUGAGACACGGUCCAGACUCCUACGGGAGGCAGCAGUGGGGAAUUUUGGACAAUGGGCGAAAGCCUGAUCCAGCAAUGCCGCGUGAGUGAAGAAGGCCUUCGGGUUGUAAAGCUCUUUUGUCAGGGAAGAAACGGUGAAAGCUAAUAUCUUUUGCUAAUGACGGUACCUGAAGAAUAAGCACCGGCUAACUACGUGCCAGCAGCCGCGGUAAUACGUAGGGUGCAAGCGUUAAUCGGAAUUACUGGGCGUAAAGCGUGCGCAGGCGGUUUUGUAAGUCUGAUGUGAAAUCCCCGGGCUCAACCUGGGAAUUGCAUUGGAGACUGCAAGGCUAGAAUCCGGCAGAGGGGGGUAGAAUUCCACGUGUAGCAGUGAAAUGCGUAGAUAUGUGGAGGAACACCGAUGGCGAAGGCAGCCCCCUGGGUCAAGAUUGACGCUCAUGCACGAAAGCGUGGGGAGCAAACAGGAUUAGAUACCCUGGUAGUCCACGCCCUAAACGAUGUCUACUAGUUGUCGGGUCUUAAUUGACUUGGUAACGCAGCUAACGCGUGAAGUAGACCGCCUGGGGAGUACGGUCGCAAGAUUAAAACUCAAAGGAAUUGACGGGGACCCGCACAAGCGGUGGAUGAUGUGGAUUAAUUCGAUGCAACGCGAAAAACCUUACCUACCCUUGACAUGGCUGGAAUCCUUGAGAGAUCAGGGAGUGCUCGAAAGAGAACCAGUACACAGGUGCUGCAUGGCUGUCGUCAGCUCGUGUCGUGAGAUGUUGGGUUAAGUCCCGCAACGAGCGCAACCCUUGUCAUUAGUUGCUACGAAAGGGCACUCUAAUGAGACUGCCGGUGACAAACCGGAGGAAGGUGGGGAUGACGUCAAGUCCUCAUGGCCCUUAUGGGUAGGGCUUCACACGUCAUACAAUGGUACAUACAGAGCGCCGCCAACCCGCGAGGGGGAGCUAAUCGCAGAAAGUGUAUCGUAGUCCGGAUUGUAGUCUGCAACUCGACUGCAUGAAGUUGGAAUCGCUAGUAAUCGCGGAUCAGCAUGUCGCGGUGAAUACGUUCCCGGGUCU
This 1352-nucleotide ribosomal RNA is filed under the name uncultured bacterium. RNAcentral describes it as "bacterial SSU rRNA". It matches the Rfam family "Bacterial small subunit ribosomal RNA", at positions 28 to 1381 of the family's 1533-position model. The record is from RNAcentral.